UAAAGCGUGCUAUCUUUUUAAUCACAAAAACAACACUUAACAAGUGUGCUCUAAAAUAAAGAAAAAGAUUUCAUCAAAAAUUUUCCUCAAUUAUUUCUUUCAGUAAAUUUUUUCCCUAUUUUGAAAGGGCAAAAGAAAGAACCAUCGAAGUCUUCACCCUCUCUAUAGACCCGUUAAAAUCUCCAUCUCCACCACUAAGCCGCUUGGUUCCACCGGUACCAAAUCCAGCAUCCCUGAAAUUUUCUUCUCCAUUGACCCAAUAUAUGCGUCUAAGAAAGAGAAAAUUUCAGCAUUCAAAAGUGCACUUAUAUUUCAUCUUCUUGUGGACUAGCAAACAUUGAGCAAGCAUACAGAUAUUGAGCAGCAUUUAGUGCAGUGUUUGGAAAGGAGCAGCCUGGUCGAAUACGAUGGUAUGGUAGAUCAAUGACAACAAGUACUCUGAAAAAAGAUGAGGAAAUCAGCAAGCUCCAAUAAAAGCAUAACAAUGAAGUCUCUACUUUGAAAGAAGAAAUGCAAGAAAUGAGAGAAGAAAUGUAAGAAUUGAGGCAAUUGCGUCAUUGCUUUAAUCUAUUGGUGCAAAACAAUCCUGGACUAAAUGUUCAAGAUAUACCAGCAUCUGUUGGAUCUAACCAACCUUCUCCAGUUGAUGUAAGUAGCGCACAGGCUGUAAGAGGCCAAAAUCUUCCACACUCUUUUGGAUCAACCCAUAGGAAUUCGUGAAAAGUUUCUUUUUAUGUGUAGGAGAAUGUGGGUGAUGCAAUUCAAAAUGGUGGCGGAAAGUCAAUUUGAUCUUAAUGUGAAUGCAAAGAAUUUUUGAAUAAUUAGGAUGUCUAAUAUUCAUGAUACUAUAUGAAUAUAUUCACUUUUGUAAAGUUUAUUAUUAAUGGGCAUUUUGACUCAUUAUUUUAUUAGUAUGUGUAUUCAUUUGCAUU
Molecule: long non-coding RNA, 932 nt
Organism: Nicotiana tabacum (common tobacco)
Lineage: Eukaryota; Viridiplantae; Streptophyta; Magnoliopsida; Solanales; Solanaceae
Source: RefSeq, a predicted model, not a curated record